GGUUGCCCCGACCUUACGGCGGCGUCGGCGAUGGUAGAUGUGCGGGGCCUGCACGCCAUCCGCGCUGCGCUCGAGGAUCUCGAGGGCCACCUCCACUUCCUUCAUGUCAGUACAAGCCCCUCCCUCAUUUCCUACUCGUCUUUCUCUUUCUCGCGUUAGGAAACCAUCCACACUUGAUACUGCAACGGAACAGGUUAGGUACUAGAAAAAUGAGUUUAGGAUAUGCAAAAGGAAGCUUACCUUUCUUCGCUAAGGAGGUACACAUUUACACAUUUCUUUACCUCAAGGUAUUUUGGAAGUGCCGACAUUCCAUUCGUUAGCUUUACUCACCGUGAACUGAUUUUGGUCUUUCUUCACAGAUCCUUGCAUCAGGAAAUAUAAAUUUGAUGAUUAUUUGGCUUUUCUCGUUGCUAAGAUAACAGAUUUCACUCUGGAAAGGAUAAGUGCAACUGCAACCACUCAAUAUUUUCAUAUGAUGCAAAUUAAAUUGGAUAUUUCCUAACUAGACACACAAGGUUUUUACUAUGGUGAAACUUUAACUGAAUAUCUUUUGACACUUGUAUCAUCUUAUUUUACAACCCUUCAAGAUAAAAUUUAACCUUUUGUUUUCUUGACUUUGGAGUUUGGACAAUGUUAUCUGCACAUUUGUAAUGUAUAUCAAGUCAGAAAUUCACCAUGUUUUAAAUCUAACAUGUAGAUUGGUGUGUGUGAAGAUAUCAGCAAGUCACUGAUUUUGAGACUAUAUGGAGUUUGAGAUUCCAUAAUGCAUGGAUCUUAUUUCUCUUUGAAGUCCUUCAACUGAAACAUGUUAUUUCUACAAAAUAAAUUGUUCUUCGGUCAUAUAGUUCAGUGAAGUUUGACUAAACCAAACUGGAACCAAGCUUCUCCUUACUGCAGUAUUGAAAAAAUUAACAUGACAGUCAGUUUAAGAUAAUCUGUAUGUAAAGAAUAUCGUGCUAAUACUUGUGUUGCAUAAAUUUGUAGGUAGCUCACUUACUGCACUGGUUUGUCUUUAGAGUUCAGUGAAAGCUUCUCCCUACUCUUGUCUUUAUAACCUGAUGCCGUGCAAGAACUAGAUCUACCAAGUAGUAAUUUAACUUAAAAG
Molecule: long non-coding RNA, 1105 nt
Organism: Lolium rigidum
Lineage: Eukaryota; Viridiplantae; Streptophyta; Magnoliopsida; Poales; Poaceae
Exons: 2
Source: RefSeq, a predicted model, not a curated record